This 645-nucleotide ribosomal RNA is filed under the name Eutiarosporella urbis-rosarum. RNAcentral describes it as "eukaryotic LSU rRNA". It matches the Rfam family "Eukaryotic large subunit ribosomal RNA", at positions 250 to 915 of the family's 3401-position model. The record is from RNAcentral. Lineage: Eukaryota; Fungi; Ascomycota; Dothideomycetes; Botryosphaeriales; Botryosphaeriaceae.
AUCUCCUUCGACGAGUCGAGUUGUUUGGGAAUGCAGCUCUAAAUUGGAGGUAAAUUUCUUCUAAAGCUAAAUACUGGCCAGAGACCGAUAGCGCACAAGUAGAGUGAUCGAAAGAUGAAAAGCACUUUGGAAAGAGAGUUAAAAAGCACGUGAAAUUGUUGAAAGGGAAGCGCUUGCAACCAGACUUGUCCGCAGUUGCUCAACCGGUCUCCUGACCGGUGUACUCUUCUGCGGCCAGGCCAGCAUCAGUUCGGGCGGUCGGAUAAAGACCUUGGGAAUGUAGCUCCUCUCGGGGAGUGUUAUAGCCCAAGGUGGAAUGCGGCCAGCCUGGACUGAGGAACUCGCUUCGGCAAGGAUGCUGGCGUAAUGGUUGUAAGCGGCCCGUCUUGAAACACGGACCAAGGAGUCUAACAUCUAUGCGAGUGUUUGGGUGUCAAACCCAUACGCGUAAUGAAAGUGAACGGAGGUGGGAACCCGCAAGGGCGCACCAUCGGCCGAUCCUGAUGUCUUCGGAUGGAUUUGAGCAAGAGCAUAGCUGUUGGGACCCGAAAGAUGGUGAACUAUGCCUGAAUAGGGUGAAGCCAGAGGAAACUCUGGUGGAGGCUCGCAGCGGUUCUGACGUGCAAAUCGAUCGUCAAAUUUGGG